This 384-nucleotide ribosomal RNA is filed under the name uncultured bacterium. Its description in RNAcentral is "bacterial SSU rRNA". It matches the Rfam family "Bacterial small subunit ribosomal RNA", at positions 30 to 412 of the family's 1533-position model. The record is from RNAcentral.
AUUGAACGCUGGCGGCAUGCUUUACACAUGCAAGUCGAACGGCAGCACGAGUGCUUGCACUUGGUGGCGAGUGGCGAACGGGUGAGUAAUACAUCGGAACGUGUCCUAAAGUGGGGGAUAACGCAUCGAAAGAUGUGCUAAUACCGCAUAAUCUCUAAGGAGAAAAGUAGGGGAUCGAAAGACCUUAUGCUUUUGGAGCGGCCGAUGUCUGAUUAGCUAGUUGGUGGGGUAAUGGCCUACCAAGGCGACGAUCAGUAGCUGGUCUGAGAGGAUGGCCAGCCACACUGGGACUGAGACACGGCCCAGACUCCUACGGGAGGCAGCAGUGGGGAAUUUUGGACAAUGGGCGCAAGCCUGAUCCAGCAAUGCCGCGUGAGUGAAGAA